RNAcentral lists this small nuclear RNA (107 nucleotides) under Ursus thibetanus thibetanus. The record is from RNAcentral. Lineage: Eukaryota; Metazoa; Chordata; Mammalia; Carnivora; Ursidae.
AUGCUUGCUGCAACAGCACAUACACUAAAAUUGGAACUAUACAGAGAAGAUUUCCAAGGCCCCUGCACAAGGAUGACACACAAAUUCCUGAAGUGUUUUGUAUUAAA